Molecule: long non-coding RNA, 621 nt
Organism: Lathyrus oleraceus (garden pea)
Lineage: Eukaryota; Viridiplantae; Streptophyta; Magnoliopsida; Fabales; Fabaceae
Exons: 2
Source: RefSeq, a predicted model, not a curated record
GGUGGAAGCAAAACAUCAUCGGUUGUCAUUUCAAGUGGUUCGAAUUCAAAUUUACCCAAAUGUGGAUGUGAUCAAGCAAUGAAGAUCUCGGUCGCAAACACAAUCAAAAACCCCAAUCGAAAAUUUUAGAGAUGUCGAAAUGCUAGGAGUGUUGAAAGUUAUGACCUAUUAAUCUAGGACGAUGAAAUUGGACAUGAUCAGUUUCAUGGUAGGAAUGAAAAUCAAAAGAUCCAAACAAGUUGCAAUAAUUGUGAUAUGAUAAUGGCUUAUUUGAGAAAGUUUGGGAAGGACAUUGGCAAGGAAUUUGAGAAGAAAUUUGUCAAAGAGUAUGAGGUACAAAUCAGUUCAAAGAAGCAUGAAAAGACGAAGAAGACACUUCAAAUUGAGAAGAACAAAAGUCAUGCUUUAAUGUUUGCACUUAUGAUGUUUUGGAUUAUGUUUUCAAUUGUCUAUAAGUUAAUGUAAUAUGUAGUUUAAUGGCCGCACUAAUUAGGUAUUCUCCGAUUAAGAAUUUUGUUUUAAUGGUUCAUGUAACAUUUGAUGUAUGAAAUGACGAUGUAUAAGUUGCAAGUUUCAUGUAUGAAUUGCAAGUUUAGUAAUGAAAUAUUUCAUAUUUAAUCA